Cucurbita moschata (crookneck pumpkin) is the source of this 191-nucleotide long non-coding RNA. RefSeq lists it as uncharacterized. Lineage: Eukaryota; Viridiplantae; Streptophyta; Magnoliopsida; Cucurbitales; Cucurbitaceae. The transcript is spliced from 2 exons. The record is from RefSeq and is a predicted model, not a curated record.
GAGAGAAGAAAUUAAAUCUUGUGAGGAGCGUGUGAAGAAGUUGCUUGAGGUGACACCGCCAAGAGGGAAAGAAUUUCUUCAGAAGAUUGAGCAUAUAUUAGAACGUGAAAAUAAUUGGGUGUGGUGGAAACGUGAUGGCUGCCCUCCUUUUGAAAAGCAACCAAUUGAAAAGAAAACCACCCAUGAUGCAA